GUUUCUAUAGUUGAAUGACAACGGCGGUUUUUCAUAUCGUUGGUCCUGGUUGAAGUCCGGGUGGAAAUU
This 69-nucleotide transfer RNA is filed under the name Coloconger cadenati (congro). Its description in RNAcentral is "tRNA-Glu". It matches the Rfam family "tRNA". From Rfam's summary of the family: Transfer RNA (tRNA) molecules are approximately 80 nucleotides in length. Their secondary structure includes four short double-helical elements and three loops (D, anti-codon, and T loops). Further hydrogen bonds mediate the characteristic L-shaped molecular structure. tRNAs have two regions of fundamental functional importance: the anti-codon, which is responsible for specific mRNA codon recognition, and the 3' end, to which the tRNAs corresponding amino acid is attached (by aminoacyl-tRNA synthetases). tRNAs cope with the degeneracy of the genetic code in two manners: having more than one tRNA (with a specific anti-codon) for a particular amino acid; and 'wobble' base-pairing, i.e. permitting non-standard base-pairing at the 3rd anti-codon position. The record is from RNAcentral. Lineage: Eukaryota; Metazoa; Chordata; Actinopteri; Anguilliformes; Colocongridae. RNAcentral also lists the same sequence under 1 other name.